RNAcentral lists this ribosomal RNA (497 nucleotides) under uncultured bacterium. RNAcentral describes it as "partial 16S ribosomal RNA". It matches the Rfam family "Bacterial small subunit ribosomal RNA", at positions 28 to 507 of the family's 1533-position model. The record is from RNAcentral.
GACGAACGCUGGCGGCGUGCCUAAUACAUGCAAGUAGAACGCUGAAGAGAGGAGCUUGCUCUUCUUGGAUGAGUUGCGAACGGGUGAGUAACGCGUAGGUAACCUGCCUUGUAGCGGGGGAUAACUAUUGGAAACGAUAGCUAAUACCGCAUAACAAUGGAUGACCCAUGUCAUUUAUUUGAAAGGGGCAAAUGCUCCACUACAAGAUGGACCUGCGUUGUAUUAGCUAGUAGGUGAGGUAACGGCUCACCUAGGCGACGAUACAUAGCCGACCUGAGAGGGUGAUCGGCCACACUGGGACUGGGACACGGCCCAGACUCCUACGGGAGGCAGCAGUAGGGAAUCUUCGGCAAUGGGGGCAACCCUGACCGAGCAACGCCGCGUGAGUGAAGAAGGUUUUCGGAUCGUAAAGCUCUGUUGUAAGUCAAGAACGAGUGUGAGAGUGGAAAGUUCACACUGUGACGGUAGCUUACCAGAAAGGGACGGCUAACUACGUG